AUGGAGACCAACUCCGAUUCCCCACCAACGGAGGAGUACGGGCGCCGGCUGUUCGCGGCUAGGUCCGGCAUCCUCACCGUCGAGGCGCUCUUCCGGUCUCAGUCGCCGGCGGUGCCCUUCUCGCAGCCAUGCACGGUGGACGUCCUCUGCGGGGAGACCUUCGCCAGGCGUGUAGGGCCGCGUAUCGUGGGCGGCGGGUGCGCUGCUGAGUGUUGUUUGUCAACUCGUUCCAUGAAACCGAGCAGACGGGAGAAGGAUUACCUGGCGUCAACAUGGCGUGUGAAGUCCAUCAGCCCGACAGCGCCGCCGUUCUACCUCGACGACCAUUGGUUUGACAUCUUUGAGUAUUGA
Molecule: ribosomal RNA, 351 nt
Filed under: Triticum aestivum (bread wheat)
Lineage: Eukaryota; Viridiplantae; Streptophyta; Magnoliopsida; Poales; Poaceae
Description: partial small subunit ribosomal RNA
Source: RNAcentral